GGCGCAAUCCACGGGAGUCCCGGCGCGCGGGGCUGAGAGGGAGCACGCGUGCUCUGACCGUUCAACCUGAUCUGGUUCAUACCAGCGGAGGAAGGGACUCUUCAAUGACGC
Leucobacter sp. 7(1) is the source of this 111-nucleotide non-coding RNA. Lineage: Bacteria; Bacillati; Actinomycetota; Actinomycetes; Micrococcales; Microbacteriaceae. The record is from Rfam.